This 532-nucleotide ribosomal RNA is filed under the name uncultured bacterium. Its description in RNAcentral is "bacterial SSU rRNA". It matches the Rfam family "Bacterial small subunit ribosomal RNA", at positions 8 to 526 of the family's 1533-position model. The record is from RNAcentral.
AGAGUUUGAUCAUGGCUCAGGACGAACGCUGGCGGCGCGCUUAACACAUGCAAGUCGAGCGAGAACCAGCCCUUCGGGGCUGGGGACAGCGGCGAACGGGUGAGUAACACGUGGGUAAUCUGCCCUCGGCACCGGAAUAGCCCGGGGAAACCCGGAUUAAUGCCGGAUGGCCUCUCGAGCUCCCGAGCUCGGGAGAAAAGGUAGCUUCGGCCUCCGGCCGAGGAUGAGCCCGCGGCCGAUUAGCUUGUUGGUGGGGUAAUGGCUCACCAAGGCGACGAUCGGUAGCUGGUCUGAGAGGACGAUCAGCCACACUGGGACUGAGACACGGCCCAGACUCCUACGGGAGGCAGCAGUGGGGAAUCUUGCGCAAUGGGCGAAAGCCUGACGCAGCGACGCCGUGUGCGGGAAGAAGGCCUUCGGGUUGUAAACCCCUUUCAGUUGGGACGAAGCUUCGCCGGUGAAUAGCCGGCUGGAGUGACGGUACCUUCACAAGAAGCCCCGGCUAACUACGUGCCAGCAGCGGCGGUAAUAC